RNAcentral lists this unclassified non-coding RNA (561 nucleotides) under Oculatella mojaviensis CMT-3BRIN-NPC81. RNAcentral describes it as "16S-23S ribosomal RNA intergenic spacer". The record is from RNAcentral. Lineage: Bacteria; Bacillati; Cyanobacteriota; Cyanophyceae; Oculatellales; Oculatellaceae.
UUUAGGGAGACCUACCCAUUCAGAUUCUGAAAGCACAGUGCAAAUAAGAACUGGAUUGGUCAUCCCAAAGUCGUUCGAGGUAUAGGUGUAGGCUUUCAAACUAUUUCCGGGUUUGACAUCACUUCAGUGGCAGAACCGCCCCUUGAGAGUACGGUUUUGACGACUGAAGUUCUUCUUUGAAAUCGAUAUAGUAGUAGAUGUGGAUGUUGAGUCAGUUGAGACCAAGACCUCAACGAAGCGAACCAGAAGAUGCUCAACAAACAACCCUAAAAAAGCUUGGUUGUUCCCCCACAAACAAGAAUAGAUUCGCUAGAGUAGUGAAUGUGGCAAACGAGUUAGCCGGUGGGCGAGUGAACCGAUACUAACAAAGCGAUAAAACUUUAAUUACUUUGGAUAAACCUUCAGCAACUUGUUUAGUAAUGCGCUGGCAUACUAGAGAGCCUGCUGGACUUGUAUCCAGUUAGAACCUUGAAAAUUGCAUAGCAACUUGUCAGGUAGUUAGUGAAAGCUGAACGAAUGUUCAGAGAUUCACUAAUCACAGACAUCAAUGUAAGAAAUUGU